Molecule: ribosomal RNA, 1653 nt
Filed under: Salmonella enterica subsp. enterica serovar Virchow
Lineage: Bacteria; Pseudomonadati; Pseudomonadota; Gammaproteobacteria; Enterobacterales; Enterobacteriaceae
Description: partial 23S ribosomal RNA
Rfam family: Bacterial large subunit ribosomal RNA
Source: RNAcentral
UGUGAGGGUUGCUGGAGGUAUCAGAAGUGCGAAUGCUGACAUAAGUAACGAUAAAGCGGGUGAAAAGCCCGCUCGCCGGAAGACCAAGGGUUCCUGUCCAACGUUAAUCGGGGCAGGGUGAGUCGACCCCUAAGGCGAGGCCGAAAGGCGUAGUCGAUGGGAAACGGGUUAAUAUUCCCGUACUUGGUGUUACUGCGAAGGGGGGACGGAGAAGGCUAUGUUGGCCGGGCGACGGUUGUCCCGGUUUAAGCGUGUAGGUGUGUGUUCCAGGUAAAUCCGGUUCACUUUAACACUGAGGCGUGACGACGAGGCACUACGGUGCUGAAGCAACAAAUGCCCUGCUUCCAGGAAAAGCCUCUAAGCAUCAGGUAACAUCAAAUCGUACCCCAAACCGACACAGGUGGUCAGGUAGAGAAUACCAAGGCGCUUGAGAGAACUCGGGUGAAGGAACUAGGCAAAAUGGUGCCGUAACUUCGGGAGAAGGCACGCUGACACGUAGGUGAAGUGAUUUACUCAUGGAGCUGAAGUCAGUCGAAGAUACCAGCUGGCUGCAACUGUUUAUUAAAAACACAGCACUGUGCAAACACGAAAGUGGACGUAUACGGUGUGACGCCUGCCCGGUGCCGGAAGGUUAAUUGAUGGGGUCAGCGCAAGCGAAGCUCCUGAUCGAAGCCCCGGUAAACGGCGGCCGUAACUAUAACGGUCCUAAGGUAGCGAAAUUCCUUGUCGGGUAAGUUCCGACCUGCACGAAUGGCGUAAUGAUGGCCAGGCUGUCUCCACCCGAGACUCAGUGAAAUUGAACUCGCUGUGAAGAUGCAGUGUACCCGCGGCAAGACGGAAAGACCCCGUGAACCUUUACUAUAGCUUGACACUGAACAUUGAGCCUUGAUGUGUAGGAUAGGUGGGAGGCUUUGAAGUGUGGACGCCAGUCUGCAUGGAGCCGACCUUGAAAUACCACCCUUUAAUGUUUGAUGUUCUAACGUGGACCCGUAAUCCGGGUUGCGGACAGUGUCUGGUGGGUAGUUUGACUGGGGCGGUCUCCUCCUAAAGAGUAACGGAGGAGCACGAAGGUUGGCUAAUCCUGGUCGGACAUCAGGAGGUUAGUGCAAUGGCAUAAGCCAGCUUGACUGCGAGCGUGACGGCGCGAGCAGGUGCGAAAGCAGGUCAUAGUGAUCCGGUGGUUCUGAAUGGAAGGGCCAUCGCUCAACGGAUAAAAGGUACUCCGGGGAUAACAGGCUGAUACCGCCCAAGAGUUCAUAUCGACGGCGGUGUUUGGCACCUCGAUGUCGGCUCAUCACAUCCUGGGGCUGAAGUAGGUCCCAAGGGUAUGGCUGUUCGCCAUUUAAAGUGGUACGCGAGCUGGGUUUAGAACGUCGUGAGACAGUUCGGUCCCUAUCUGCCGUGGGCGCUGGAGAACUGAGGGGGGCUGCUCCUAGUACGAGAGGACCGGAGUGGACGCAUCACUGGUGUUCGGGUUGUCAUGCCAAUGGCACUGCCCGGUAGCUAAAUGCGGAAGAGAUAAGUGCUGAAAGCAUCUAAGCACGAAACUUGCCCCGAGAUGAGUUCUCCCUGAGACUUUAGGUCUCCUGAAGGAACGUUGAAGACGACGACGUUGAUAGGCCGGGUGUGUAAGCGCAGCGAUGCGUUGAGCUA